This 318-nucleotide ribosomal RNA is filed under the name uncultured soil bacterium. RNAcentral's name for it is "bacterial SSU rRNA". It matches the Rfam family "Bacterial small subunit ribosomal RNA", at positions 26 to 372 of the family's 1533-position model. The record is from RNAcentral.
AGAACGAACGCUGGCGGCAUGCCUAAUACAUGCAAGUCGAACGAACUCUUCGGAGUUAGUGGCGCACGGGUGCGUAACGCGUGGGAAUCUGCCCUUGGGUUCGGAAUAACAGUUGGAAACGACUGCUAAUACCGGAUGAUGACGAAAGUCCAAAGAUUUAUCGCCCAGGGAUGAGCCCGCGUAGGAUUAGCUAGUUGGUGAGGUAAAGGCUCACCAAGGCGACGAUCCUUAGCUGGUCUGAGAGGAUGAUCAGCCACACUGGGACUGAGACACGGCCCAGACUCCUACGGGAGGCAGCAGUAGGGAAUAUUGGACAAU